UACGAAGGGGGCUAGCGUUGUUCGGAAUUACUGGGCGUAAAGCGCACGUAGGCGGAUAUUUAAGUCGGGGGUGAAAUCCCGGGGCUCAACCCCGGAACUGCCUUCGAUACUGGGUAUCUUGAGUUCGGAAGAGGUGAGUGGAAUUGCGAGUGUAGAGGUGAAAUUCGUAGAUAUUCGGAAGAACACCAGUGGCGAAGGCGGCUGACUGGACAUGUAUUGACGCUGAGGUGCGAAAGCGUGGGGAGCAAACAGG
RNAcentral lists this ribosomal RNA (253 nucleotides) under uncultured bacterium. Its description in RNAcentral is "partial 16S ribosomal RNA". It matches the Rfam family "Bacterial small subunit ribosomal RNA", at positions 524 to 776 of the family's 1533-position model. The record is from RNAcentral.